UACGUAGGGUGCAAGCGUUGUCCGGAAUUAUUGGGCGUAAAGAGCUCGUAGGCGGUUCGUCGCGUCGGCUGUGAAAACCCGGAGCUCAACUCCGGGCCUGCAGUCGAUACGGGCGGACUUGAGUGUUGCAGGGGGGACUGGAAUUCCUGGUGUAGCGGUGAAAUGCGCAGAUAUCAGGAGGAACACCGGUGGCGAAGGCGGGUCUCUGGGCAACUACUGACGCUGAGGAGCGAAAGCGUGGGGAGCGAACAGG
Molecule: ribosomal RNA, 253 nt
Filed under: uncultured bacterium
Lineage: Bacteria
Description: partial 16S ribosomal RNA
Rfam family: Bacterial small subunit ribosomal RNA
Source: RNAcentral